RNAcentral lists this ribosomal RNA (411 nucleotides) under uncultured prokaryote. RNAcentral's name for it is "bacterial SSU rRNA". It matches the Rfam family "Bacterial small subunit ribosomal RNA", at positions 505 to 918 of the family's 1533-position model. The record is from RNAcentral.
GUGUCAGCCGCCGCGGUAAUACGUAGGGGCCAAGCGUUGUCCGGAGUUACUGGGCGUAAAGGGUGCGCAGGCGGUGGGUUACGUCGUGUGUGAAAGCCCCCGGCUUAACCGGGGAGGGUCGCGCGAAACGGGCUCACUGGAGGCAAGGCGAGGUCGGUGGAAUUCCCGGUGUAGUGGUGAAAUGCGUAGAGAUCGGGAGGAACACCAGAGGCGAAGGCGGCCGACUGGACUUGACCUGACGCUGAGGCACGAAGGCGUGGGGAGCGAACGGGAUUAGAUACCCUGGUAGUCCACGCCCUAAACGAUGCUUACUCGACGUGCGGUUUUCGGAUUGUGCGUCCAAGCGAAAGCGCUAAGUAAGCCACCUGGGGAGUACGCCGGCAACGGUGAAACUUAAAUGAAUUGGCGGGG